Molecule: ribosomal RNA, 241 nt
Filed under: uncultured bacterium
Lineage: Bacteria
Description: partial 16S ribosomal RNA
Rfam family: Bacterial small subunit ribosomal RNA
Source: RNAcentral
GAUCCUGGCUCAGGACGAACGCUGGCGGCGUGCUUAACACAUGCAAGUCGAACGAGAAUCUACUGAAAGAGUUUUUCGGACAAUGGAUGUAGAGGAAAGUGGCGGACGGGUGAGUAACGCGUGAGGAACCUGCCUUGAAGAGGGGGACAACAGUUGGAAACGACUGCUAAUACCGCAUGAAGCAUAGGGGUCGCAUGAUUUCUUAUGCCCAAAGAUUUUAUCGCUUCAAGAUGGCCUCGCG